UCGAUUUUAGUUCAUAUUUUUACAACGAAUCUUUCAUGAUAGGUGUACUUCCUUGGAAGAAAUAUGCUGCAUGCGCACAGAAUCAAAGAGUUGCUAAAAUUGGAGGUAGAAAGAACAUUAAACACGCUCUACUGAAGCCUAUGGAAAUCGGACGCAUUUAAGCGCAUUCAACUCAAGUACAUGAAACCAAAUACAGGAAUCUAAUUCAAAUCAGCUCGAUUUCCCAUAUAAACGGCAAAAAUAAUCCUGCCUGCAAACGUGUCCUAAAGAUAGUCCCAAUUUGCAUAUGCUCCUCAUUUCAUUUGCUCCUACCUGAAUUUCUGGGACUGCAAUUGGCAAGAUCCAAGAUGCCGGUCACAUGAUCCAAACUGGAGUAAAACAUGGACACACCUUAGGCCCGUAGCUCAGGUCUUCGUCAAUGACAAUUCGAAGGCCUCUUGUUUAGUUGCUUGGCACGGGCAUCAAAUACGUUUCAAACUGCUAAUAAGUUAAUACAGUCUUCGUUCAGUGCUUAUCCAGUAUACUGUGCAGCUGAAGUGGACCUGUCAGCAAGUAAAGCCAAGAGGCCAAUAGGGAAUAAUUAACACCUUACUGUAAAUGACAGUUGAUACUAAUGUAAUGCCAUAACUUCUAUAGGAUCACUAAGGGUGAAACCUCAUAAUAAAAAGGAUAAUGUAGAAAUAUACUAGUACUAGGCAGGAGGCCAAUGUGUAUCACACCCAUGAAAACUGUUCGAAUAUUUUUGGCAGCACACCUCAAGAGCCAAGAGUUGGUAAGGUUCACAUACAGAUGGUUCAUUUCAAUGCCAAUAUGAACCCAGCUCAUACGACUCAAAAAUGUCGAACCCUUGCCUGGUUCUAUCAACAAGGGAAUAAGUAUUAAUAUUUUGACAAGGCUGUGAGACAAGGAUGACCAGCUCGAUCUCUUAGACUUCGAAUUUACACCCUAAAAAAUUUUCAAGCUAAAAUGUGAUACUCUUCAAAGUUUCAAAACAGGAGAAAUAUCUCUACAAUUCUCGACUAAAAGAAAGCAACUUACAGUGUGUUGUCCAAGUGAAUGGGCUAGUUGAUGCCUUGGGGUUCGGUCUUCCACUUGACAUAGUAUCCACUUGCAUAGUCGCAUUAGUAGCCAAU
This 1133-nucleotide long non-coding RNA is filed under the name Oryza sativa (Asian cultivated rice). Its description in RNAcentral is "long non-coding RNA (OSAT_LNC000622)". The record is from RNAcentral. Lineage: Eukaryota; Viridiplantae; Streptophyta; Magnoliopsida; Poales; Poaceae.